This 324-nucleotide ribosomal RNA is filed under the name uncultured Thiotrichales bacterium. Its description in RNAcentral is "bacterial SSU rRNA". It matches the Rfam family "Bacterial small subunit ribosomal RNA", at positions 335 to 676 of the family's 1533-position model. The record is from RNAcentral. Lineage: Bacteria; Pseudomonadati; Pseudomonadota; Gammaproteobacteria; Thiotrichales.
ACUCCUACGGGAGGCAGCAGUGCGGAAUAUUGGACAAUGGGGGAAAGCCUGAUCCAGCAAUGCCGCGUAAGCGAUGAAGGCCUGCGGGUUGUAAAGCUCUUUCAGUUGGGAAGAUAAUGACGUUACCAACAGAAGAAGCACCGGCUAACUCCGUGCCAGCAGCCGCGGUAAUACGGAGGGUGCAAGCGUUAAUCGGAAUUACUGGGCGUAAAGCGUGCGUAGGCGGUUUAUUAAGUCAGAUGUGAAAUCCCCGGGCUCAACCUGGGAACUGCAUCUGAUACUGGUAGACUAGAGUGUGGGAGAGGAGAGUGGAAUUUCCGGUGU